Molecule: long non-coding RNA, 2111 nt
Organism: Oncorhynchus gorbuscha (pink salmon)
Lineage: Eukaryota; Metazoa; Chordata; Actinopteri; Salmoniformes; Salmonidae
Exons: 4
Source: RefSeq, a predicted model, not a curated record
AAGUUUCAAACGAAGAUAACAAAAAGGCCAUAUGCAACGUUUGUGCUCCUAUUAUUUCCAGAGGGGAGAAAUUGAAAUCAUUCAAUACCACAAACCUAAUUACUCAUUUGAAAAUGCAUCAUCCCCAGAUGUUCAGAGAAUACUCAGGACAAAAGCAGAAAAAAAAAUGAACACAUACUUCCAACAACUAAACAAGUUCAAGUCGAGCAGUCAUUUGAAAGAGGAAAAACAUUUCAGCAAGACAAUUCAAAGGUGAAACCCAUUAAUGCCAAGAUAAUGGGAUUCAUUGAGCUUGACAAUCAACCGUUCUCGUUCAUGGAUGAUGUUGGCUUUCGACUGGUCAAGCACCUCGAGCCCCAGUACAUACUACCAAGUAGGGGCUAUUUUUCAGAUGUUGCACUACCGGAGUUACACAGUAUUGUUGAAACUCACAUUAAUUAGCUACUUGAUAUGGGCGUCACUGCUAUUAGCUUCACAACUGACAUUUUAACCAGCGAUGUCAGCCCAAUGAGCAUGCUGAGUCUGACAGCACAGUGGGUCGACAAGGAUUUCGUAAUGAGGAAAGCCGUAUUGCAUGCUCAAGAAUGUGCUGGUUCUCAUAACGCUUCUGCCAUUUCAAUGGCAUUUGAGAACAUGUUUGAAACAUGAACACACUCCUAGCUCCAUUCGAACAACUGACUUGAGAAAUAAGCUCAUCAACUGAGUCUACAGCAGACGUGAUUAUCCUCCGUCAUGGCACUUGAAAGACCUGCUCAACAAAACUGUCAAAACAGACCGUGGGGUUAAAACUUGCAAAAGUACUCUACUAGAGGCUGUGAACAAGUGAUUCGGUGGCAUUCUUUGCGGUGUCACCGCUAUGCUCGAUGCUAGAUACAAGGGCCGCUACUUUGAUGCAGACAAGAAACAGGGUUUAACUGAAAUGUUUGACACAGCUGAACAAUAUGGAAACAUACAGAGUGACAGUGCGCACCGAAGAGGACCCACGACAUCCUGGUUGAGAUUGAAAUGACUGAACAAAUGAACAACGAAACAGCACAGCAAUCCAACAGGAGUGUAUCCCUCAGACAAUCCGUUGCAUGGACAUCUUGUACCAGUUGUGAUCCAAGCGCAAGCAUCUAGUUGUGGAGACUACAACAGAUCGAGCCUGUGGACGGACAGACAUGAGGCGUGACAUGCAGAACAACAAGCUCACCCAACGAGAAGCAGUGCAUGAUCAACGCCGUCCUCAGCAAGAUCUCAUGGAAGUGAUGUACUCGCUCACUCCCUCUGGGGGGACACUUGACCUCCACCACUGCUGUGGUGCCCACCAGGCCAUCCGGUGAGGCACCCAGGAUCCCAGACUCCAUGACACAAAGCCUUGACUCCUGCAGAUCCAUCCCUGUAGCCAUUUUUAUUGCCCUCGUCUUUGAUAUCUAUGCCCCACUUUACAGACAACAACCCAUCCAAUGACUGUGAUCGGAGGACCCUUUUAGCAGCAACAGAGUAACAGGCUUGGCCCUAACCACUGCUCCAUAACUGCUGGCCGUCAACCUCCCUCCCCUCAUGGUGUGCCAGUUGGGGUUGGUGCGCUGUCCAGCUUGGUGCGCUGGUGUUGUUGUGCUGCUCUAAAGCCUCCUGCUGCUCCACCGACAGCGCCACGCCAGCCAGGAUGCCUGCAAGCCCCAGGUUCCCUUGCUUCUAAACAAUGUCCGGUACAGACAGGGAUGACAGAAAGGGUAGCGGUUGUUCUGGCUCAGGUUCAUGGAGAUAUGCCAUUCCAUUGAACUUGCCCUGGAGACGGUUCCUUAGCCACUGAAGAUCGUCCUCUGUGGGAUCCCCUGGACAGAGGGUUGCAGUCUUCGGCCGGGUACAGGUCCGCCACUAACUGCACCUAGUUGGGCACGGCUGGCUUAGGCUAUAUGGCUACACUUACGAGCUCCACGGAGGCAUUCGCAUGGGGUAGAGAGAAUCCCCUGGUCACCUAUAAACACCUGCCAAGAUGAAGGAUAUUAAGUGCCACGUCUUUCAAUGUAUGACUUUGAACACCUUUUAAUUAAUUUGUAAUAAGAAAUGUGCUAUAUAAAUAAAGUUUGAUUUGAUUGAUGACAUUAGAAGGUGUAUAAUAUUUCAUA